AGUGCAAAAAUCAGUAUGAUUAAAAUGCUUCGGAAAACAUCCCAAAGGAUAAAAAUUGUAAGAGGGGUAGAUGUUUCUAAGUUUUCGAUUACAUUAUAAUAAGAAGAAUUGAAAAGUAUUAAAUGAGGUGAAAUGACGAAGGUAACGAAAGAAAAACAGUGCAAAAAUUAACAUGAUUAAAAUGAACUUUAAAAUUUACCAUAAAGAAUAAUAAAUAUUAAUAAAAUCUCAAAAAUGAAGUUAACUGUCCCUGGGUGAAGACUGGUCACCACGCUACCAUGUGUGAGGAACAACACUCGCCUUGGGUUAGAGAGAUGAGGCAGUUUUCAGCUGUUAUUGUGUGUAAAUAGUCAGCAUCACCUGGAGGAGUGGAGCAGCAGUUGUGGUGGUGGAGAUGAAGUGGUGCAGUGUUGAAGUUUUGGACUCGGCAUGACACAGCGCCUGGCGAAGCUGUAUGUAAGCUACAACACGAGCCAAUGUUACCUGGACGUCCAUUUGUAGGAGUACCAAACCCAAGACUGUCUCCUCCUUCUUGCCUUCCCUCUAUAUCUGACCCGGACACCAUGGCCCGGCAGCAACCCCAUUUCAUGAACUACAUGACGCUGGCUGACGUAUUCCUGACACGGCCGUAACAGGAGGCAGAGAGCAGGAGCAAGAGUCAGAUGGUGAAGGUAGGGGUGAUGGUGAAGGUGGAGGGGUGUCGGAGGGGCUUCGUGUAGGAGUACCUCGACAGGGUGUAUGAGCAGGUGCAAAUGAUGUUCAGCAAAGCCAAGACAUUCGCCAAGCAAACCAUCUAUGAGUGUGAGAGAAGUAAUCAUUGUAAAGAGGUGAAGAGCAGCACCAGCAGCAGCAGCAGCAUGGCAGAGCAGAGGCCCGAGUGGGGAUAGGAGGCGAACGGUGGAGGCAGAAGGCAUCCUAUCCAGCAAAAGAUAGGGUCACUUUUACCUCGCAAGACGAGUAUUGUGUGUGUGUGUAUUUAACUAGUUGUAUUGUGCAGGAUACAAGCCAAAGCUCAUCCACUUUCUAUUUCAACCUGUAUAUACUGUUGGCCACAACUACCUCUUCCUUCAAAUUAUUCCAGAUUUUAGUAGUUCAAUACAGAAAGCUGUAUUUCUUGAUGUCUCUUGAACAUCCGCUCUUCUUUAUUUUCUUUUCUUGCCCCCUCGUCUGUCUGUCUUCCUUCUCCGUCUAGGGUACCAAGUCAUUUUGGUCUAUUUUUUCUGUAUUGUUUACUAAUUUGUACAUUGUUAUCAUGUCUCCUCUUUCUCCUCUCUUUUAUAGUGUUGAUUAUCACAUCUCUUCAAAUCUUUUUUCAUAGCUUAGGUCUUGCAAUUCUGGUGCCAUCUUUGUUGCUGUCCUCUGUAUUGUUUUUUAGUUUCCAUAUAUUUUUACUUGUAUGGGGAGCCCAAACUAUUGCUGUGUAUUCCAGUUUAAAACGUAUCAUGCUUGCUAUAAUUUUCUUCAUCAUUUCUUUUCUAAAAUAGUUAAACACCACCCUAAUGUUUGUUAACAAGCUGUGUGCAGAACCGAAUAUCCCGUUUAUGUGUGUUUCAGGUGAUGGUGAGUGCGAGUGUGUGUAAGGGAGUGUGAGUGAUGUGUGCAAGGUGCCUCAGUCCCUGCAUGUGUGUAAUAGUGCGUCUUGCUCUAUCUGGGUUUCAUGACGUUGGAUUGCCAGCCUUCUGGUGUAGUGUAUGGAGAUGGAUGUGAUGUGUGUAGGGUGCCCCAGUCCCUGCACAUGUGUAGCAGUGUGUGUUGGUCUGUCUGGGCCUCAUGGUGUGGGAUUGUCAGCCUGCUGGUGUAGUGUCUGGAGAUGGAUUUGAUGUGUGCAAGGUCCCCCAGUCCCUGCGUAUGUGUAGCAGUGUGUGUUGCUCUGUCUGGGCCUCAUGGUGUGGGAUUGUCAGCCUGCUGGUGUAGUGUUUGGAGAUGGAUGUGAUGUGUGUAGUGUGUCUCAGUCCCUGGAUGUGUUUAGCAGUGUGUGGUGCUCUGUCUGGGACUCCUGGUGUGGGAUUGCCAGCCUGCUGGUAUAGUGUAUGGAGAUGGAGGUGAUGUGUACAGAGUGCCCCAGUCCCUGGAUGUAUGUAGCAAUAUGUGGUGCUCUGUCUGGGCCUCAUGGUGUGGGAUUGCCAGCCUGCUGGUGUAGUGUUUGGAGAUAGAUGUGAUGUGUGCUUGGACCCUCUGUCCCUGGAUGUGUGUAGCAGUGUGUGUUGCUCUGUCUGGGCCUCGUGGUGUGGGAUUGUCAGCCUUUUGGUGUUGUGUUUGGAGAUGAAUGUGAUGUGUGCAAGGUGCUCCAGUCCCUGAGUGUGUGUAGCAGUGUGUGUUUCUCUGUCUGGGCCUCAUGGUCCGGGAUUCUCAGCCUGCUAGGGUACUGUUUGGAGAUGGAUGUGAUGUGUGCAGGGUGUCCCAGUCCCUGGAUGUGUGUAGCAGUGUGUUUGUUGCUCUGUCUGGGCCUCAUGGUGUGAGAUUGGCAGGCUGGUGGUAUAGUGUAUGGAGAUGGAUGUGAUGUGUGCUGGUUGCCUCUGUCCCUGGAUGUGUGUAGCAGUGUGUGUUGCUCUUUCUGGGCCUCACGGUGUGGGAUUGUCAUCCUGCUGGUGUAGUGGUUGGAGAUGGAUGUAAUGUGUGCAAGGUGCCCCAGUCCCUGUGUGUGUGUAGUAGUGUGUGUUGCUCUGUCUGUGCUUCAUGGUGUGUGAUUGUCAUCCUGCUAGUGUAGUGUUUGGAGAUGGAUUUGAUGUGUGCAGGGUGCCUCAGUCCCUGGAUAUGUUUAGCAGUGUGUGGUGCUCUGUCUGGGCCUCAUGGUAUGGGAUUACCAGCCUGCUGGUAUAGUGUUUGGAGAUGGAUACAUAAUUCAAGACUGUUUAUCAUAUGCAUUAUUUUCUUUAUUUUUUUAUUUACUAUUAUCAUAUUUAUUUUUUGAUUAUUAAUGGGAUGCUUGUGUAGUGCAUUAAGAUGGAUAUGAUGUUUGCAAGGUACCCCAAUCCCUGUAUGUGUGUAACAGUGUGUGUUGCUCUGUCUGGGCCUCAUGGUGUGGGAUUGUCAGCCUUCUGGUGUAGUGUAUGGAGACUGAUGUGAUGUGUGCAAGGUGCCCCAGUCCCUGCUUGUGUGUUGCUCUCUCUGGGCCUCAUGGUGUGGGAUUGCCAGCCUGCUGGUGUAGUGUAGUAGUGUUUGGAGAUGGAUAUGUUUAUCAUAUGCAUUAUUUAUUAUUAUUUAUUUAUUUACUAUCAUAAUUUUUUUCAUUUUUAAAGGGGAGUACAUUUCCAUUCUCACCUUUUCAAUCCUUUGUGUUUGGGACUCAGUAGUUAGUGCUGCUACUGACAAAAAAAACGGGAGAUAUGGUCUUGCUUCUUUACUGUGGAAAACUGUCCUGGUGAGUGUGACGUGCUGAUUGAUCUUGUGGGUCACAGGUCUCGCCUUCUGUCACCAAACAAACAAUAAAGAAUUGAUAUUAUUUCGUGAA
Molecule: long non-coding RNA, 3451 nt
Organism: Scylla paramamosain (green mud crab)
Lineage: Eukaryota; Metazoa; Arthropoda; Malacostraca; Decapoda; Portunidae
Exons: 4
Source: RefSeq, a predicted model, not a curated record